GUCUACGGCCAUACCACCCUGAACACACCUGAUCUCGUCUGAUCUUGGAAGCUAAACAUGGUCAGGGCUGGUUAGUACUUGGAUGGUGUUAUGGUUUGGGGGUUAUUUUGCAAGGGGAGCAAUAUAAUACAGGACACA
Molecule: ribosomal RNA, 138 nt
Filed under: Chinchilla lanigera (long-tailed chinchilla)
Lineage: Eukaryota; Metazoa; Chordata; Mammalia; Rodentia; Chinchillidae
Source: RNAcentral